GACAGAGGGUGCAACCGUUGUUCGGAAUUACUGGGCGUAAAGCGCGUGUAGGCGGCCCUGCAAGUCGGAUGUGAAAUCCCACGGCUCAACCGUGGAAGUGCAUUCGAAACUGCAGGGCUAGAGUCCUGGAGAGGAAGGUGGAAUGCUUGGUGUAGAGGUGAAAUUCGUAGAUAUCAAGCGGAACACCGGUGGCGAAGGCGGCCUUCUGGACAGUGACUGACGCUGAGACGCGAAAGCGUGGGGAGCAAACAGG
Molecule: ribosomal RNA, 253 nt
Filed under: uncultured bacterium
Lineage: Bacteria
Description: partial 16S ribosomal RNA
Rfam family: Bacterial small subunit ribosomal RNA
Source: RNAcentral